Molecule: ribosomal RNA, 331 nt
Filed under: Geastrum mirabile
Lineage: Eukaryota; Fungi; Basidiomycota; Agaricomycetes; Geastrales; Geastraceae
Description: eukaryotic LSU rRNA
Rfam family: 5.8S ribosomal RNA (bases 1-98)
Source: RNAcentral
GAAACGUAAUGUGAAUUGCAGAUUUCAGUGAAUCAUCGAAUCUUUGAACGCAUCUUGCGCUCCUUGGUAUUCCGAGGAGCAUGCCUGUUUGAGUGUCGCGAACUACUCAAUUUCAAACCCUUUGUUGUGGUUUGAAAUUGGAUUUGGGUGUUGUUGUUGCGGGAAAACGACUCAUCCUAAAUGCAUUAGUGAUCUUGCCACUGAUCAUGAACAAUGUGAUAAGAAAAGCAUUGUUGAGAUUGGAGGUUGGGGUUGCUUCUAACCGUCGAAAGACAAAAACGCAUAUAUGCGGUUUGACCUCAAAUCAGGUAGGAGUACCCGCUGAACUUAA